Molecule: transfer RNA, 74 nt
Filed under: Candidatus Parvarchaeota archaeon
Lineage: Archaea; Nanobdellati; Candidatus Parvarchaeota
Description: tRNA-Arg
Rfam family: tRNA
About the family: Transfer RNA (tRNA) molecules are approximately 80 nucleotides in length. Their secondary structure includes four short double-helical elements and three loops (D, anti-codon, and T loops).
Source: RNAcentral
AGGCGAGUAGUUCAGUCCGGAUAGAAUAUAACCUUGCGGAGGUUAAGACCAGGGUUCAAAUCCCUGCUCGCCUA